CCUACGGGAGGCAGCAGUAGGGAAUAUUGCUCAAUGGGGGAAACCCUGAAGCAGCAACGCCGCGUGGAGGAUGAAGGUUUUCGGAUUGUAAACUCCUUUUGUUAGAGAAGAUAAUGACGGUAUCUAACGAAUAAGCACCGGCUAACUCCGUGCCAGCAGCCGCGGUAAUACGGAGGGUGCAAGCGUUACUCGGAAUCACUGGGCGUAAAGAGCGCGUAGGCGGGAUAGCAAGUCAGAUGUGAAAUCCUAUGGCUUAACCAUAGAACUGCAUUUGAAACUGUUAUUCUAGAGUAUGGGAGAGGGAGGUAGAAUUCUUGGUGUAGGGGUAAAAUGCGUAGAGAUCAAGAGGAAUACUCAUUGCGAAGGCGACCUGCUAGAACAUAACUGACGCUGAUGCGCGAAAGCGUGGGGAGCAAACAGGAUUAGAUACCCGGGUAGUC
Molecule: ribosomal RNA, 440 nt
Filed under: uncultured bacterium
Lineage: Bacteria
Description: partial 16S ribosomal RNA
Rfam family: Bacterial small subunit ribosomal RNA
Source: RNAcentral